RNAcentral lists this transfer RNA (59 nucleotides) under Staphylococcus aureus. RNAcentral's name for it is "tRNA-Arg". It matches the Rfam family "tRNA", at positions 9 to 63 of the family's 71-position model. From Rfam's summary of the family: Transfer RNA (tRNA) molecules are approximately 80 nucleotides in length. Their secondary structure includes four short double-helical elements and three loops (D, anti-codon, and T loops). The record is from RNAcentral. Lineage: Bacteria; Bacillati; Bacillota; Bacilli; Caryophanales; Staphylococcaceae.
AGCUCAAUUGGAUAGAGCGUUUGACUACGGAUCAAGAGGUUAUGGGUUCGACUCCUAUC